CUUUUACAAAAACAAUAAACAAGCUCGAUAAUCCCAUCAUCAUCAUCAAUCCAUCCUCUAAAUUUCGCAUUCUCCUAGAAGCAAUAAGCUAGGGUUUGGAUUGGGAGAAAUGGCAAUGAGGAAAGUUUACAGCGAGAUCAAAGGGAUGAAAGUGAAGGAAGUCCCUAACUACGUGAAGCCGAUGCUAUCCAUGGACUACGUGAAGAAAGCUUUUCAAAGGGGUUUGGACAAUUACAAUUCCAAAUACAUUCAAACUGAUUCAAUCCAGCCUCUUUACCAUGUCUGCUUCGGUGGGAUGAUCUUCUCUUACCUCGUCGCUCUCCCCAACGAGCGUCGCCAUCUUGAGCACAAGGAACAUGGCAAUCAUUGAUCCCCAUCCCAUCCAGGUCAAAUUUUAAUCAAACUGGAACCACAACAUGCUCUUCAAUCGCUGGAGAAUAGACGUGUCAAAGGGGGGUGGGGGCUUAUGGCUUAAUGCAUUCGGUUGUAAUUUCGGAAGACUAUUGGGCAGUAAAAUACUGUCUUUUAUCAAAUGCGAUUAUUAUUUGAUAUUUUCAUGCAACAUUUUUUAAAUAAUUAUGAAUAACAUUUUAUAGUUAGUCUAGGAAUGAGAUGUAA
RNA transcript from Hibiscus syriacus, 618 nucleotides. RefSeq lists it as uncharacterized. NCBI's taxonomy places the organism in Eukaryota, Viridiplantae, Streptophyta, Magnoliopsida, Malvales, Malvaceae. The record is from RefSeq and is a predicted model, not a curated record. The transcript is spliced from 3 exons.